Molecule: long non-coding RNA, 764 nt
Filed under: Cricetulus griseus (Chinese hamster)
Lineage: Eukaryota; Metazoa; Chordata; Mammalia; Rodentia; Cricetidae
Description: lncRNA (ENSCGRG00015040501.1)
Source: RNAcentral
UUCCAGAUGUUUCCAGAUGCUGAAGAUGUUUUCCGCAGAUGUUGGGACCUGCGAAGGUGACCCCACAUUAAAGGGGGGAAAGAAUCCAUCUGCGGAUGUAGCUCAGUCAUAGAGGACUUGACAAGGAUAUCGGAUAUACAACCCCGUGAAAGGGUCAUUCAACCCCCAAAGGGGUUGUGACCCCCACGUUGAAAACCUCUGCCUACCAGGAAGUUCAUCAGCCAACCCCAUGUGGUGCUAUCCAAAACAUGUCUGGGACCAAGCAUUUCGGACAAGGAAUGCUCUACCUAUGACCUACCCCAGAAGCUUUCCCUUGUCAAAGCAGCCAGCCCUGUGACUGGAGGCAGAAACCAAGGUCAGGGAAAGUUCAAUGAUGGACCUGGAAUUCUAUGUAUCCUUUAUAUGUGGGUCACCUUCCUGAAGGCUUAGAGACAUUACACCUGUGAUCUUCCAAAUCCCUAUAACACCAAACCCGGAGAAGCAGACCCAGAGGGUAUGCUGGUUAGCUUUUACUGUCAACUUGACUCAACCUACAGCCACUUGGGAAGAAAGUGUUAAUGAGGAAUUAUCUAAAUCAGAUUGUGUGUGGGCAUGUCAGCCAGGGAUUAUCAUGCUUGCAGGAAGACCCAGCCUAAACUGGAGUUGUAAGUAGUCUAAGAGAAGAGGAGAAAGCUCACUAGCAAGCCAAGAACCAUGCGUUUAUUUUCUUUCUGCUCUUGACUGUGGGUACAAUGCUUCAAGUUCUUGCCUUGACUUCCCUAAAG